UACAGAGGUCUCGAGCGUUGUUCGGAUUCAUUGGGCGUAAAGGGUGCGUAGGUGGCGUGGUAAGUCUGGUGUGAAAUCCCGGGGCUCAACCCGGGAACUGCGUCCGAUACUGGCAGGCUUGAAUCCGGGGAGAGGGAUGUGGAAUUCCAGGUGUAGCGGUGAAAUGCGCAGAUAUCAGGAGGAACACCGGUGGCGAAGGCGGGUCUCUGGGCCGUAACUGACGCUGGAGGAGCGAAAGCGUGGGGAGCGAACAGGA
RNAcentral lists this ribosomal RNA (256 nucleotides) under uncultured bacterium. RNAcentral describes it as "partial 16S ribosomal RNA". It matches the Rfam family "Bacterial small subunit ribosomal RNA", at positions 524 to 777 of the family's 1533-position model. The record is from RNAcentral.